This 324-nucleotide ribosomal RNA is filed under the name Calchas kosswigi. RNAcentral describes it as "partial large subunit ribosomal RNA". Lineage: Eukaryota; Metazoa; Arthropoda; Arachnida; Scorpiones; Iuridae. The record is from RNAcentral.
AAUAAUUAGUCUUUUAAUUGGGGACUGGAAUGAAUGGUUUGACCAAAAUAGAGUUGUCUCUAGAAAAUAUUUUGAAUUUUAUUUUUUAGUAAGAAAGCUAAAAUAUNACCUAAGGGACGAGAAGACCCUAUUAAGUUUUACANAUUNAAAGNUAUUANUUUUCAAAUUNAAUNAUUUGUCUUGNUUUAGCUGGGGCAGCUGAUAAAAUUAAUUUUGUUUUUUUAUUAUNNAAUUUUAAAUUUUGUUAUAUCUUAGAAUCUNAAAAUUAAGAAUAAAUUACUGUAGGGAUAACAGCUUAAUUUCUUUAAAGAGUUCUUAUCAUCA